GUGGUGGGCCAGGAAUCGGUCUGCAGUCGAGCGGACAGAUGGGAGCUUGCUCCCUGAUGUUAGCGGCGGACGGGUGAGUAACACGUGGGUAACCUGCCUGUAAGACUGGGAUAACUCCGGGAAACCGGGGCUAAUACCGGAUGGUUGUUUGAACCGCAUGGUUCAAACAUAAAAGGUGGCUUCGGCUACCACUUACAGAUGGACCCGCGGCGCAUUAGCUAGUUGGUGAGGUAACGGCUCACCAAGGCAACGAUGCGUAGCCGACCUGAGAGGGUGAUCGGCCACACUGGGACUGAGACACGGCCCAGACUCCUACGGGAGGCAGCAGUAGGGAAUCUUCCGCAAUGGACGAAAGUCUGACGGAGCAACGCCGCGUGAGUGAUGAAGGUUUUCGGAUCGUAAAGCUCUGUUGUUAGGGAAGAACAAGUACCGUUCGAAUAGGGCGGUACCUUGACGGUACCUAACCAGAAAGCCACGGCUAACUACGUGCCAGCAGCCGCGGUAAUACGUAGGUGGCAAGCGUUGUCCGGAAUUAUUGGGCGUAAAGGGCUCGCAGGCGGUUUCUUAAGUCUGAUGUGAAAGCCCCCGGCUCAACCGGGGAGGGUCAUUGGAAACUGGGGAACUUGAGUGCAGAAGAGGAGAGUGGAAUUCCACGUGUAGCGGUGAAAUGCGUAGAGAUGUGGAGGAACACCAGUGGCGAAGGCGACUCUCUGGUCUGUAACUGACGCUGAGGAGCGAAAGCGUGGGGAGCGAACAGGAUUAGAUACUCUGGUAGUCCACGCCGUACACGAUGAGUGCUAAGUGUUAAGGGGUUUCCGCCCCUUAGUGCUGCAGCUAACGCAUUAAGCACUCCGCCUGGGGAGUACGGUCGCAAGACUGAAACUCAUAGGAAUUGACGGGGGCCCGCACAAGCGGUGGAGCAUGUGGUUUAAUUCGAAGCAACGCGAAGAACCUUACCAGUCUUGACAUCCUCUGACAUCCUAGAGAUAGGACGUCCCCUUCGGGGGCAGAGUGACAGGUGCUGCAUGUUUGUCGUCAGCUCGUGUCGUGAGAUGUUGGGUUAA
This 1064-nucleotide ribosomal RNA is filed under the name bacterium. Its description in RNAcentral is "bacterial SSU rRNA". It matches the Rfam family "Bacterial small subunit ribosomal RNA", at positions 39 to 1083 of the family's 1533-position model. The record is from RNAcentral.